Clupea harengus (Atlantic herring) is the source of this 414-nucleotide long non-coding RNA. The record is from Ensembl. NCBI's taxonomy places the organism in Eukaryota, Metazoa, Chordata, Actinopteri, Clupeiformes, Clupeidae.
CUUCCUGUGAAUCCCUCUCGCAGGUGCUGACAUCUUGUCCUGAAACCUUCUUAUUGGUCACAGAGGGGGUAUGGGAUGUUGGGACGACCCCAGUGGCAGGGCAGACACAGCCAGCCUGAAGCUGAUCACACUGAUGUACUGAGAUAAGUGGAUGCAGCAUGAGAGUAUCAUGGAUGAAGAUUUACAGCAGGAGGAGCGAGCUAAAAGUCUGAGGAUUGCAACAAAGACGACUGGAGAUGGUGCCAUGCUUAAAAGAAAGGGUGACAUUUGAAGCUGCCAGCAGAGAUGGAUGUGGCGUUUGUGUGGCUGGCCAGGUCAUCCAGAGUGCAACAUGUGGCCUAGAGGAACAAGAAACCAGCGAUAGAUAGAGAGAGAGAGAGAGAGAGAGAGAGAGAAAAGACAUUCUAAUCCCAC